Long non-coding RNA from Gavialis gangeticus (Gharial), 1542 nucleotides. RefSeq lists it as uncharacterized. The record is from RefSeq and is a predicted model, not a curated record. Lineage: Eukaryota; Metazoa; Chordata; Crocodylia; Gavialidae. The transcript is spliced from 2 exons.
AUCAAUUAGCAUUUUGGUUUUGGAGCAUCUGUAUGAAAUAAAAAAGCUGACCAGAAAGACUGUAGCUUUGUCAACAAAUGAAGCAAGACAGCUGGAUUUCCAAGAGGGUGAUAAUCCCUGCCUAGCUUUCACUUUCAGAACAAGAUGGAUGCAUUUAAAAAAAAGUUUUAAUUGAGUUUAUGGUACAUAUCAUAGGAAAAAGAUGGCUCUCUUUCACAACACACACCAAACAGAGUGAGCCUGAAUGUAACCAAAACAAAUCACACAAGUUCCCUAAGAAACCAAUAAUUUCAAUGCAGCAGAAAACAAUAAAAUACUUUUUAAAAACAUCUUUCCCUUAUCUAGAGAAUGCAAAAUGUUUUCCCUUUCAUAGUCUCUGUGUUAGGGCAAAAUGAUCUAGCUGGAAUGGGAUUCAAAAUUUUUUGCCUCCCAGAGAGGCACCUAAGCAUUGUCACCAGCAACAAGACUACCAUAUUUACUCAAAUACAAGAUGCCCCCCCAAAUAAUUAGAUUCUACACACAGAAAAUGUAUAAGUUUAUUAUAAUUUUCCAUGUGUGGAAUCUAAUUAUUGGAGGAUCAUCUUAAAUGUCUCCCUCCCCACUACUACAGGUAGUGGGGAAGAAAAGUGAUGAGGCAGUAGUGGGGUAGGUGGUAGGGAACAGACAGUGGGAGGGGCAGUAGGGGGCAGGUGAUAGGGGGCAGACAGUGAGGGACACAGGCAGCCUAUCCUCUGCUGCUUGCCUGCCCACCCCCUACCAGCCCCUAUGCCACAGCCUCAGGUUACCCCAAUUCCCGCUUUCCCUGUUCCCCCCUCCCCACCACUUCUGUCACCCACAGCCUCAGGUCCCUGCCCCGCUUCCUCCCAUCUCUCCCCCUCCUGAAGUCUCCCUCCCCCUGCCUGCCCCUCAGCCCUCCACCCUAAUCUUUGCUCUGAACCAGCUUCUGUCCCUGCUCCAGCCUGCCCCAUGCCAGCAGUGUGGAGGUGGUGCUGCUAUUUUAGCCUGGCCCCAGAGCAGCAGCAGCAGAUCCCUGCCACUACCGCUACAGGGCUGAAACAGCACUGCCGGCUCCACACCGCUGCUAAUUGAGUAAAUAUGGGAGUUUUGUUGGAGUGGAUGGAAAGGCUUGUCAGAAUAAAGGUUGCAGUUUAUUCCAUCCUGCCAGAACACAAGCCUGUAAAAUGAUAUGCUCUUCAGAUGCUGGAGAGAGAGGAGAUUUUGGGACAUUAAAAUAUAGAUUUCACCAGAGACUUAAGGCUCUCAUCUCAGUUCCAACCAGUUUCUACUGACAUCCAAAAGCAUAUUUUCUCCAAGUAAGAGCACAGCUGCCACAGACACCUUACCCAAGUGCUUAAACACAGAUUCCUAAAACUUGUGUUCUGCCUGGCCCAUUCAUUUAGCUUUUUCUGGAAAAGAAUGAGAACGUUCUUAAGUGAGUCAAUUAAGAACUAGCCAAUUCCUUAAUGUCUUCCCAAAUUAAAUAUAUAGUUAAUUAGCUGGGUCUAUACAGACACAUUAGAAGACACCUUCUAGAACUUUAUC